AACCGACUGAGCCACCCAGGCACCCCUCCGCUACAUUUAAAUAAAACAAUUUUGUCAAGUUUCCUCUUAAGAGUAAAACAGUUUUCGGAGAAGAACCUGGAGCCCAGGGCUGGCACUGGAACAUUUGAGUAUCUGCUGUUCGACCAGCUUUUCCUGUUGGCUUGCUAUUCCCAGGAAACCAUCAAUGGGGCUGUUCCGCUGGGGUGAAGGGCUAUUAGAAGAGAUGUUUGAGAGCUUCAGCACCUGCGCUCACACACAUGCUCACCUGCCCACAGAACCUUACAUGCCCUUGAUUAUUGGGAGAUUGGAAGAAUAACACAAGAGGGUAAAACCUCCUCUGGAGACCAAUAACUCCAAGGAUACUGACUUGCCCUCCGGGGGACCUAAGACCCAUCUGGAAGGUGACAAUUGCCUUUGAUUUCUGUCCCUCUUCCUUUUCACAAGUAACUUUCCCCGUCCUUACCAUUGUCUUUCCUUCACUCUUAGGUAGUGAUCUCAGCUGAGUAAGAGCCAACAAAGAGCUUCCUAUUGAGAGGUUAGCCAAGGGUCUCAGCUUUUCCAGGGUUUCUUCCAUGGGUCCUUCUUGAAGAGUCCAUUAAAUCUUUCGUGGUAGAUUUUGUAGAGAGGCUAAUAAAGUAUAGGCUCUUUCAAGGUUCCCCAUAUCAUAGCCACAGACCCUUACACAUUUGUUCAUCCUAUCUACUUUUAAGACCAUUAUAAGUUCCCAUAUAAAAGGACAGGUUAUCAUAUGGGGAUAUUAAAGGUGAAACUGUAGUUUUUAAGAUCCACAAUAGGAGAAAAAAGUAACUCGGAAAAGUAAAAUCACAGGAAGUCACAAAUCUCUUAAUUUCAUUAUACGAUUCUAAACUGUAGGCCCUCCAAGGUCAAGGGUAGGCAAAGUCUGACUAAUUUUUAUAAUACCAGUACCUAACAGAGUAUCUUGAAUAUAGAUCCUCAAUGAA
This is a long non-coding RNA of Herpailurus yagouaroundi (jaguarundi), 962 nucleotides long. RefSeq lists it as uncharacterized. NCBI's taxonomy places the organism in Eukaryota, Metazoa, Chordata, Mammalia, Carnivora, Felidae. The transcript has 2 exons. The record is from RefSeq and is a predicted model, not a curated record.